GGCCUGGCUGGGCGGUCUGCCUUUCGGUUAGUACUGCCUCGGCUGGGUCUUUCCUUCUGGAGAGCCGGCAUGCCCUUCAUUGGGUGUGUCGGGGAUCCAGGACUUUUACCUUGAAAAAAUUAGAGUGCUCAAAGCAGGCAUUUCCGCUUGAAUACAUUAGCAUGGAAUAAUAGAAUAGGA
This 180-nucleotide ribosomal RNA is filed under the name uncultured Glomeromycotina. RNAcentral's name for it is "partial small subunit ribosomal RNA". The stretch from base 92 to 180 matches the Rfam family "Eukaryotic small subunit ribosomal RNA", at positions 738 to 827 of the family's 1831-position model. The record is from RNAcentral. Lineage: Eukaryota; Fungi; Glomeromycota.